RNAcentral lists this ribosomal RNA (253 nucleotides) under uncultured bacterium. RNAcentral describes it as "partial 16S ribosomal RNA". It matches the Rfam family "Bacterial small subunit ribosomal RNA", at positions 524 to 776 of the family's 1533-position model. The record is from RNAcentral.
UACGGAGGGUGCAAGCGUUAUCCGGAUUCACUGGGUUUAAAGGGAGCGUAGGUGGGUUGGUAAGUCAGUGGUGAAAUCCCCGAGCUUAACUUGGGAACUGCCAUUGAUACUAUCAGUCUUGAAUACUGUGGAGGUUAGCGGAAUAUGUCAUGUAGCGGUGAAAUGCUUAGAUAUGACAUAGAACACCAAUUGCGAAGGCAGCUGGCUACACAAAUAUUGACACUGAGGCUCGAAAGCGUGGGGAGCAAACAGG